UCAUAUAUGAAUAUGAUGUUAGUUCAGAACCAAUGCUAUAUAGGGGCCUAACACAUGCGAAUAGUAUUAUAUUAUAAGAUUUAAUAUAUGAAAUCUGAAACUUUAAUUAAUAUUUUAAUAUUUAAUUAAAAAUACAAUAUAAUACUGUGUAAGGGUGAGUAAACUGGGGUAUAUAGAUACCUUUAUAAAUGUAGGUAGUAGUUUUAAUAAAAAUAAUAAAAAUUUAUAAAAAUUUAUAAAAAUAAUAAAAAUAAUAAAAAAGACUAGCCAAUGACUUAUAAUUGGGGAUGGAGGUCCUAACGAUCACAUUGAUGUAAUGUCAACUACUAUUAGUGGCAGCAGUGGGGAAUUUUUGACAAUGACCGGAAGGUUGAUCAUGUUACCUAUAAGAAAUAUCAUUUUUAUUUUAAUAUUUAAAUAUAAAAUAUUGAAUAAUAUAUUGAAUAUUAUCUCCACCCGCGUAGCAAUAGCUACGCGGGCGUGUAGUAUGUUAUUAUAAAUAAUAAUAUUAUUAUUAAUAUUCUUAUUCCCCCGGCUUUGCCGGGGGGCCCAGGCCCGCGGCUACGCCGCGGGCCUAUUAAAAUUUUUAUAAUAUUUAUUAUUAUUUUAAUAUUACAUAUUAAUAAAUAAAAAAUUUCAACUAUUUUAUAAAACAUAAUGAGUCAUAUAAAAUACAUAGUCCUGACUCAGUGAUGUGCCAGCCGUCGCGGUCAUACAUCCAGGGCUAGCAUUGUUCUACAUUGGCUUAAAGGAUUCGUAGGCUUAAAAAAAAAUGUUUAUUUUAUAAAAAAUAUAAAUUAAUUUAAUACGUAAUUAAUUUAUAAAAAUAAAACAUUAAUGGAAUAUAGAAAAGGUAUAAUGAACUAGAUAAGUAGAGUUAAAAUUCGUUGAUAAAUCUAUGACAGCUAAAGUACUAAUAUAUAUAUUGACGCUGAGGAGUGUAGGCUGUGGUAUCAACAGGGAUUAGUCACCCCUUUAGUCACAGCUGUUAACGAUGUAUACCAAAUAAGUAAAGAUAAAUUGAUAAGUAUACCGCCAGAUUAGUAAGCUCGCAAGGGUGAAAUGUAAGACAUUAGACGGUUGGGUACAAUAGCAGUGGAGUAUACCAUUUAAUUGGAUAAUCCGCCAAAAAUCUUACCUACUCUUGAAUUUUUAUAUAAUAUUAUGUUUAUUAUUAGAUUUUAUAUUAAAAAUUUUAAUUAUUUAAAAUAAUUUUAAUUAUUUAAUAUAAUUUUUAUAAUAAAAAAAAAUAUAAUUCCCCCGGCCGCUACGCGGCCGGGCGGCCCACGCCCGCGGCAUAGCCGCGGGCGGGAAAUAAUUAUAUUAAUAAUAUAUUUUAUAUUAUGUAUAAAUUUAUGAUAAAUACCAUUAUAUAAUAUAUAAAUGUAUAUUAUAUGUUAUAUAAUAAUAAUAUAAAAUAUAAGAAAUAUAUCACCGGCCCGCGGUGUAUACCGCGGGCCAGGGUCAUUGCUUCGGGCCCCCGAUAUAUUUAUAUAUAAAUACAGGUGUUACAUUGUUGUCGUCAGUUCAUGCUCAAUGGUUUACUAUUUAGUUAGUUAAUGAACGAAAUCCCAUUGUUUAUUAAAAUCAAUAAUUUUUAUAAGGAUUUAUGUAUAUACCGGCGGUGAUUUUAAAUUAAUUAUUGCCGAUUUGGUUUAUCUUACAAUAAUUAUCUAUUUAAAAUUCCAGCAACUCUUUAAUAUAUUAUAUAUGAAGAGAUAUAUUCCCCCGGCCGCAAUGGGCCGGGGGCCCGCCAGCGCAUAUACAUUUCGCUGCUCGGUGUUAAAUUCUUAUUUAUAAUUAUUUUCUUUCAUAUAGAUUCUAUUUAUAAUAGAUAGAGAUUUUCUUAAACAUAUUAUGAUACUUAAUUUAGUAUCGGAAGUAGGGUCAACGACUAAUCAGCAUGACCCUUAUGUGUAGGGCUAUAAGUGUACUACGAUUCGCCCUUCUAAUUAUAUCUUAUUCUAAAAAGAAUUAGUAUAUAAAUGGGUGUUCUAUGAUAAAUAAUUUAUAUUUAUAUUUAUUUAUAAAUAUUAUUUAUAUCGUUUAUAAAAAAAAUAUAGAAAUUAAUCUAUAUCGAUAUAAUUAAGAUCAUUUAUCCCUCAAUUGAAUAAAUCUCUGCAACUCGAGGCUUUGAAAGAGGAAUUGCUAGUAAUUGUGGACAAGUGUGUCACAGUGAAAUAUCCUUACCCUUCGUACUAAUCACUCAUCAAUAGUCUAGUUGAUCUAAUAUUUACUAUUUCAUAUAUCAAUUAUUGAUUACAUAUAUAUUUGAUCAAUAUUAUAUAUUUGUUCAGGGACAAUAUUAUGGUCUGAAUAGUCUAUAAGUUGAAAUACAGUUCCGGUAGGUGAACCUGCUGGGGAGUGAUAAAUAAA
This 2376-nucleotide ribosomal RNA is filed under the name Insectozyma bohioensis. Its description in RNAcentral is "Candida bohioensis small subunit ribosomal RNA". The stretch from base 9 to 1111 matches the Rfam family "Bacterial small subunit ribosomal RNA". Lineage: Eukaryota; Fungi; Ascomycota; Pichiomycetes; Serinales; Debaryomycetaceae. The record is from RNAcentral.